Molecule: transfer RNA, 69 nt
Filed under: Smittia aterrima
Lineage: Eukaryota; Metazoa; Arthropoda; Insecta; Diptera; Chironomidae
Also listed under: 1 other name
Description: tRNA-Gln
Source: RNAcentral
UAUAUUUUAGUGUAUGAAGCACAAAAGUUUUUGAUACUUUUAGAAUUAGUUUAACUCUAUUAAAUAUAA